Molecule: ribosomal RNA, 370 nt
Filed under: Escherichia coli
Lineage: Bacteria; Pseudomonadati; Pseudomonadota; Gammaproteobacteria; Enterobacterales; Enterobacteriaceae
Description: partial 23S ribosomal RNA
Rfam family: Bacterial large subunit ribosomal RNA
Source: RNAcentral
AAUGGGUCAGCGACUUAUAUUCUGUAGCAAGGUUAACCGAAUAGGGGAGCCGAAGGGAAACCGAGUCUUAACUGGGCGUUAAGUUGCAGGGUAUAGACCCGAAACCCGGUGAUCUAGCCAUGGGCAGGUUGAAGGUUGGGUAACACUAACUGGAGGACCGAACCGACUAAUGUUGAAAAAUUAGCGGAUGACUUGUGGCUGGGGGUGAAAGGCCAAUCAAACCGGGAGAUAGCUGGUUCUCCCCGAAAGCUAUUUAGGUAGCGCCUCGUGAAUUCAUCUCCGGGGGUAGAGCACUGUUUCGGCAAGGGGGUCAUCCCGACUUACCAACCCGAUGCAAACUGCGAAUACCGGAGAAUGUUAUCACGGGAGA